Otolemur garnettii (small-eared galago) is the source of this 290-nucleotide non-coding RNA. The record is from Rfam. NCBI's taxonomy places the organism in Eukaryota, Metazoa, Chordata, Mammalia, Primates, Galagidae.
UCUGGGCAUGGUGGCACGUGCCUAUAGUCCCAGCUGCUCAGGAGGCUGAGACAGGAGGAUCACUUGAGUCCAGGAGUUCUGGGCUGUAGUGCCCUAUGCUGAUCGGCUGUGCGCACUAAGUUCAGCAUCAAUAUGGUGACCUCCCGGGAGCUUGGGUUGUCUAAGGAGGGGUGAACAGGCCAGGUCGGAAACAGAGCAGGUCAAAGCUCCCGUGCUGAUCAGUAGUGGGAUCCGGCCCGUGAAUAGCCACUGCACUCCAGUCUGGGCAACAUAGUGAGACCCUGUCUAAA